RNAcentral lists this ribosomal RNA (506 nucleotides) under uncultured Diversispora. RNAcentral's name for it is "SSU rRNA". It matches the Rfam family "Eukaryotic small subunit ribosomal RNA", at positions 569 to 1078 of the family's 1831-position model. The record is from RNAcentral. Lineage: Eukaryota; Fungi; Glomeromycota; Glomeromycetes; Diversisporales; Diversisporaceae.
AGCAGCCGCGGUAAUUCCAGCUCCAAUAGCGUAUAUUAAAGUUGUUGCAGUUAAAAAGCUCGUAGUUGAACUUCGGGGUUUACUCAUUGGUCAGGCUUAAUUGUCUGUACUGGUGAGAUGAAUCUCUACCUUCUGAGGAACUUUCAUGCCAUUUAUUUGGUGUGGUUGGAAAUCAGGACUGUUACUUUGAAAAAAUUAGAGUGUUUAAAGCAGGCUAACGUCUGAAUACAUUAGCAUGGAAUAAUGAAAUAGGACGGAUUGAUUCUAUUUCGUUGGUUUCUAGGGUCACCGUAAUGAUUAAUAGGGAUAGUUGGGGGCAUUAGUAUUCAAUUGUCAGAGGUGAAAUUCUUGGAUUUAUUGAAGACUAACUACUGCGAAAGCAUUUGCCAAGGAUGUUUUCAUUAAUCAAGAACGAAAGUUAGGGGAUCGAAGACGAUCAGAUACCGUCGUAGUCUUAACCAUAAACUAUGCCGACUAGGGAUCGGACGAAGUUAAUUAAUGACGCG